This 1840-nucleotide long non-coding RNA is filed under the name Homo sapiens (human). Its description in RNAcentral is "HSALNT0066688". The record is from RNAcentral. Lineage: Eukaryota; Metazoa; Chordata; Mammalia; Primates; Hominidae.
GGAAGUUGGCGCCACUGAAUGCCAAAGCCUUUUUUGUAGGUGCCAAUCAGGACAGAAAUCAGGCGGGGGACAAAUAGAGACCGAGAGUCUCAGAAGUCUUGGCACCAGGGCACAAGGACCUCAACCAAAUUGCCUUCGAGAAUGUAAACAAUUCUUUUUAUCAUUCACUGGGUUUUUUGCCAAAACUUUCAAAUGCUGAGGAGGCAUGAAAAGUAGCAAGAUUGUUUAUGAUCUUUGGUCUUUUUUUUUUUGCUUGUUUUUUUUAACCUUGAAGCUGAGUGAACAAAAACAACGAGGAUCCACCUAGAAGGAUGUUGAAAGUUGUAUCUGGUAGCUUCAGCUAAGUUCAUCAGGCCGUUUAGCAGUGAAAGAGAAAAGAUAUCAUGGAGUGGGAUCAAGUGUGGAUUUACUGAGGGUUGACCAAGUUCAGGGGGUAUCUGAAACACAGGGCUUGCCAUCCUCUUCUCAGGACCAGGAAAAAGUCACUACAAAUACCUCAUCACUUCAUGAAUCCUUGGUCUCCUCAUCUGUAAAAUGGGGUGACAAAGACCUACUUUGCAGUGUUUGAGGAUGAAAGGAGCUGAGACAGGGUCUCUCUCUGCUGUGCAGGCUGAAGUGCAGUGAUGUGGUCACGGCUCACUGCAGCAUCAACCUCUUGGACUCAAGCGAUCCUCUCGUGUUGGCUGCCUGAGUAACUAGGACUACAGAAUGAAGGUUAACUAUGUCACCUCAGAGCUGACCCUCAUCACAAGUGACAAUGUGAGGCAUUAUGGGAGGAAUAGGAAACACGGUGCCAAAGGGUCAUGUGUGGUGUGACCUUGGGUAAGUCACUUCCCCUCUCAUGGCCUCAGUGUCCUUAUAUGUAAUUGUGGGGUUGUUAGAGUAGGUAGUUAGGCAGACAUGAGCAGGGCAGGACAGGCCCCCCCUCCACCCCCAGGAAUGUCAGGUGACUAUCAGGUGACGAUGAGGUGGUUCUUAAACUCUCAAAAAUAAUAAUUGUCCACAGCCAGCACCAGGGAAAGGCAGUCUCCCAAUAGAUAGAAAAUACCUGAGGCUGAUGAACAGCAGCUUCCGGAUAAGAUCUCCGGAGUUGUGUGAGUGGGCCCUAGCUUGCGCACUAAGAGGCACAAUGGCGGAGUUUAACUGGUAUAUGACCUUCCUCUAGGAACGCUUGACUGGUAAGGGAAAAACACCUUAAGUGAGCACACACACAACUUCAAUAAACCCACUGCACAUGCCACCCCUGCCAAGUGCUGGCAGACACUGUGCAUGUGGACAGCCCACCCCAAGGGAAGAAUCAGGGGAGAAGAGAUGUAGCCCCCAGAACCAUGCCAACGUAUAAAACCCCAAGUCAAGGGCCAAGCACUGUGCUUGGAACUUUCAAGUCACUGACGUGACUCUCUUCCAAGUGUACUCUACUUCCUUUCAUUCCUGCUUUAAAACUUUUUAAUAAAUUUUCACUCCUGGUCUAAAACUUGUCAUGGUCUCUCCCUCUCCCUUGUGCCCCUUAGAUGAAUUCUUUCCUCCGGGGAGGCGAGAAUCAAGUUUGCUGUAAGCCUGUUGGAUUUGCCACUGCUGACAGGGUUGGUACAGUUGUUCAGAAGGGCCCUUUGGCCCUGUUAUGGGCUGGAUGUUUGUGCCCCUCCCAAAUUUGUAUGUUGACACUUAAUUGCCACUGUGAUAUGAUGGCAUUAGGAGGUGGGGUCUUUGGAAGGGAUUUGUGCUGUUAUAAAAGGCUGAAGAGAUCAGAGUUCUCUUUUUCCACUAUUUCUUGGGAAUUUUUCUGAUGGACGGGGCAGACACAGUGAGAAGGUACCAUCUAUGAACUAGAAAGCAGGCC